GUCUACAGCCACUCCACACUGAACAAGCCCGAUGUCUGAUCUUGGAAGCUAAGCAGGGUCAGGCCUAGUUAGUACUUGGAUAGGAGACCACCUGCGAAGACCAGGUGCUGUAGGCA
This 116-nucleotide ribosomal RNA is filed under the name Pteropus alecto (black flying fox). The record is from RNAcentral. RNAcentral also lists the same sequence under 1 other name. Lineage: Eukaryota; Metazoa; Chordata; Mammalia; Chiroptera; Pteropodidae.